Transfer RNA from Thermanaeromonas toyohensis ToBE, 74 nucleotides. It matches the Rfam family "tRNA". From Rfam's summary of the family: Transfer RNA (tRNA) molecules are approximately 80 nucleotides in length. Their secondary structure includes four short double-helical elements and three loops (D, anti-codon, and T loops). NCBI's taxonomy places the organism in Bacteria, Bacillati, Bacillota, Clostridia, Neomoorellales, Neomoorellaceae. The record is from Rfam.
AGGGGCGUAGCUCAAUUUGGCAGAGUAGCGGACUCCAAAUCCGUUGGUUGCAGGUUCGAGUCCUGUCGCCCCUG